CACUCCUGUUUCUGCCUCAUAUUCCCUUGCUCCAUGGAAUAAUGGGUUCUGGUGAUGGAGAAGAUCAAGCCCGUCGUCGUCUCUGCGAUUUGAUACUUUGUUGAGUUCGAGGACGGGAUCGUGAAAACGCAUAUACCCAGGGCUGCCAGACAGGUUGGCGGCUCUGAAUUGUCGUUUCUACAUCU
This 185-nucleotide small nucleolar RNA is filed under the name Ogataea parapolymorpha DL-1. Its description in RNAcentral is "Small nucleolar RNA snR43". It matches the Rfam family "Small nucleolar RNA snR43". The record is from Rfam by way of RNAcentral. Lineage: Eukaryota; Fungi; Ascomycota; Pichiomycetes; Pichiales; Pichiaceae.